AGUAACACGUGGGUAACCUGCCUCAGACAGGGGGAUAGCCUUCCGAAAGGAAGAUUAAUACCGCAUAACAUAGUUUAGCCGCAUGGUUAGAUUAUCAAAGGAGUAAUCCGGUUUGAGAUGGACCCGCGGCGCAUUAGCUAGUUGGUGAGGUAACGGCUCACCAAGGCGACGAUGCGUAGCCGACCUGAGAGGGUGAUCGGCCACAUUGGAACUGAGAUACGGUCCAA
RNAcentral lists this ribosomal RNA (227 nucleotides) under uncultured bacterium. Its description in RNAcentral is "partial 16S ribosomal RNA". It matches the Rfam family "Bacterial small subunit ribosomal RNA", at positions 109 to 334 of the family's 1533-position model. The record is from RNAcentral.